This is a long non-coding RNA of Symphalangus syndactylus (siamang), 2792 nucleotides long. RefSeq lists it as uncharacterized. The record is from RefSeq and is a predicted model, not a curated record. NCBI's taxonomy places the organism in Eukaryota, Metazoa, Chordata, Mammalia, Primates, Hylobatidae.
AGUGAAUGCGGUCCUGUAAAUGCUGGCAAUCUUGUAGCAGUGCUGAUUGGCGAGUUGCUGCAACACCUCCGCAUAUUUUUUUUCCUGCUCCUCACUCACCUGCUUUGCCAAAAUGAACAAGAAGAAAGCAUGAUUGGGCUGUGCACCGAGGUGGCAAGGAAGCCCUGGAUGACCCUCUUAACAGAGGCUGCCAAGGCUCCAAUGCCCACUUUCUCAGCCUCCCUUGCUGCUCAGGAUGAAGUAUGUAGAGCUGGAGAAGAGACAUGGUUAGUCCUUAUGUCCUGCCUUAAAUGAUGAUGUGAUGGCCAUUAUCUGGAUCCUUCAUGGAAUUUCAGCAGUUCCAAGGUGUCAGGCCAGUAUCUGGGAUUCUGUUAGCCUUUGCUUUUUCCCCUGGGAGUCGGACAGCUGCUGCAGCUCAGUCAGACCAAACCUCUCUGAAUACCACCAAGAAUCAGGGUCUUGUUCUGUUGUCCAGGCUGGAGUGCAGUGGUACAAUCACAGCUCACUGCAGCCUCAACCUCCUGGGCUCAAGACAUCCUCCCACGUCCGCCUCUCGAGUAGCUCGGACCACAGAGUCACCCAGGCUGGAGUGCAGUGGCACAAUCUUGGCUCACUGUAACCUCUGCUUCCUGGGUUCAAGCAGUUCUCCUGCCUCAGCCUUCUAAGUAGCUGAGAUUACAGGCACGCUUUACCACGUCUGGCUAAUUUUUGUAUAAUAUUUUUAGCAGAGAUGGGGUUUUGUCAUGUUGGCUAGGCUGGUCUCGAACACCUGGCCUCAAGCAAUCCACCUGCCUCAGCCUCCCAAAGUGCUGGGAUUACAGGUGUGAGCCACUGUACCCAGCCCUUAUGUUUUAUUUAUGCAUUUAACAAAUAUUUGUUGCGUGCUGCUGAGUGCCAGGCCUGACGCUGGUUGUGAAGAUUUCAGAAGGGCCUGCCAAACCGUCCCUGUCCAAAACAGCUCACUACCAAGCACGGUUAUUUUGUAAGUGUUCUGCACUGGCUUCCUUCUUCCCUAAUCAGACCAUCUGUUGGAUCUCAUGGAGCUGUCUCCUAUUUCUCUGUAAUCAAGCCACAGUAUCUAACAUUUGGGGCCACUGGUAACUUGCCAUCUACUCCCAUGCUGGAAGCCCAGGACCCUUGAACAUAAGAGGCGCCUUCUGACACCUGUGGUGCUAUCAGAGCCUGCAGGCUGCAGACAGUGAGUCGGGAAAUGGAGAAUUCCCAGGAGUGGUAGAAGGAGCUGGGACUCGCGUCAGACAGGGAAAAGACUGACCGAGACCAGGACAGAACAAGAAGCACGAGGAAAGUCAAGAGGAGAGUAAUGACCGCAAUCCCAAGGUAGACUGGACUGGAGCGUCUGGAGGGUCCGACAGGAGAGGGGCAUUUGUGUUCAUCACGGAGCUACCAGGAGAAAGGAGAGCCUGGGUCUUAGCAAGGAUGUGGUCAGGACACAACAAUAGAGUGGACCCCUCCAGUGAGUGUGGACUAUGACCUACAGCAGGCCCAAGGGGCCCAGCCCAGGGUGGGCUGGGGAGGGCAUGGCCUGCUGUAGCAUCACGCACUGCUAGUCACCCUCUACCCCGUAUAGGUCACCAAUGAUGGAACAGCUACAGCCUCCUCCCCUUCCCUUGUACUCCCUGUGCCCUCUUCUUUUUUUUUUGAGACGGAGUCUCGCUCUGUCGCCCAGACUGGAGUGCAGUGGCGCGAUCUUGGCUCACUGCAAGCUCCGCCUCCCGGGUUCAUGCCAUUCUCCUGCCUCAGCCUCUCGAGUAGCUGGGACUACAGGCACCUGCCACGAUGCCUGGCGAAUUUUUUUGUAUUUUUUAGUAGAGAUGGGGUUUCACUGUGUUAGCCAGGAUGGUCUCGAUCCCCUGACCUUGCGAUCCGCCCACCUCAGCCUCCCGAAGUGCUGGGAUUACAGGCCUGAGCCACCGCGCCCGGCCCCUGUGCCCCCUUUCUUAAACAUGUUUUCAACAGUGGUUUAGCGAUACCCAAGCAAGGCCUUUGCAUAUGUGAGAAGUUGUGCACCAUGCAAGAGCGCGACAUGCAAACAGCACCUUUCCCCGUGCAGACACUGUAGAUUUAUAUACCCUUAGCACAUACCCUUCCAGGAACAGGGCAGCAAAGGCUCUUGAGGAAGAGAUACUUUGAAAUUUCCCACAAAGGUGCUAUGUGGGUUAGUGUUGGCAUGCUCACCAAGAGAUAUUUCAAGCUAUUUCCAAGGGUAUUGGAAAAAUCAUUUAUAAGCAAAUUCUUUUUUUACUUAUGGAAAAUUUUAAGCAUAUACAAAAAUAGACAACAGUAUCAUGAAACUCUACAUAUCCAUCACAUGCAACUUCUUUUUAAUUCUCUUAAAUUUAAAAAUAGAUACGUGAAAUAAAGCAUUUGGGGUAGAAGUUCAUUGCAAAAUCAAAUGACAGAAUUUCAUAGCUCCUAGGCAAUCAAAUACUCCCCUUGUGCCAUAAGGAGAUUUAGGCCUUUUAUUUCCUUUUAUUUUACAAUUUGUUUUCUUUGCUAUCAUUCAUAUGUAGAGUUCUCCUGCAGUAUGUAGAAGGUGGACAUUGUCAUUUUCAAAAAUGGGGUAAUUAUGGCCUAUCUACCUGACUGUGCAGCUAUCAAUAAUAAUUACUAUUAUAAAGACCGUAUAACAGGGAAAAGGGUUAUCAAUUAGUGCUAAUACACAGGGUAUAAAUUGUACAUAAACAGUGAUGUCUACUGUGUAAACACAUAGUAGAUAUGCAUGUAAACAAAAACUAGAGGUAAAUUGAAUAAAUAAAAUCAGUUUUUGCAUC